This 443-nucleotide long non-coding RNA is filed under the name Ananas comosus (pineapple). RNAcentral's name for it is "long non-coding RNA (ACOM_LNC042404)". The record is from RNAcentral. Lineage: Eukaryota; Viridiplantae; Streptophyta; Magnoliopsida; Poales; Bromeliaceae.
UCUGCCCUCCGGGCAUCACUCCCUUUUUAUUAAUAGAAAGUCAUUUCGGCUCUUCCUGCCGAUCAGAUCUCGUGUUGUUCUAGCCAUUCGGCUCAUCCUGCCGAAGCGGAUUAACUGUGAAGGUUUUCGAACCCGACUGAUUCGAUCCCUCAUCGGCCUAAUCGCUUGAUCCUCUGUGGGCGCAAACUUCGAGGGUCAUCAUCCGCAGCCGCUCAUCAUCCCGGCGCUCUUUCCGAGGAGGAUAUCUGACCGGGUCAAGGGUCGGGACUUUAGGCAGCGCAACAGUAUCUAAAAUUUUUUGUAUAUAAUUUAACGAAAUAUUAACGAUAAAAACUGACAAAAAGAUAAAAAUGAAAUCACAGGACACUAACUUAAUACACUUUAAAUAAUCAUAGGGUAUUAAAAUAAAAAAGUGCGAAACUACACGAAUGGCAUUUGAAGUU